This 1049-nucleotide ribosomal RNA is filed under the name Deporaus marginatus. Its description in RNAcentral is "16S ribosomal RNA". The stretch from base 625 to 1049 matches the Rfam family "Bacterial large subunit ribosomal RNA", at positions 2048 to 2700 of the family's 2925-position model. Lineage: Eukaryota; Metazoa; Arthropoda; Insecta; Coleoptera; Attelabidae. The record is from RNAcentral.
CUCGAAUUUAAAAGAUCUAAUUUAAAUUAAAUUUUAUUGUUGAAUAAAUAUUUAAAAAUUUAAAUUUGAUACGAGAAGUAAUUCGUUUUUAAAUAUAUCUAGUUUUUUAAGAAAAAAAUUUAAUUUUAUAAUUAUUUAGCAAUAAAAUUAAAUUUUUAAUUUAUUGUUGAUAAUUAAAUAUUUCUUAAGGGAAAAGCUUUAAGAAAAAUUUCUAUAAUUAUUUAAAUUAUUUUAGUAUAUAGGAUUAGAAAUUUCCUAUUUUAUGAGUAUGUUAUAAUUCUCUAAAUUAUAAGAAUGAUUUAUAUAAAUUUUAGGUUUUAUAUUAAAAUAUAAAUUUAAAUUAUUUAGAUUUAGAAAUAAUGAUAAAAUUAGUAUAUUAAUAUAAAUUUAGUUAAUGAAUUGUAAGUUUUUGAAAAGGAAUUCGGCAAAGAAUUUUUUACCUGUUUAUUAAAAACAUGGCCUUUAGUUUAUAAUUUAAGGUCUAGCCUGCCCACUGAAAAUUUAAAUGGCCGCGGUAUUUUGACCGUGCAAAGGUAGCAUAAUCAAUAGUUUUUUAAUUGAAAGCUGGAAUGAAAGGUUGGAUAAGAAAAUAACUGUCUCUUUAGAAGUUAAUAGAAAUUUAUUUUUAAGUUAAAAAGCUUAAAUGAAAUUUAAAGACGAGAAGACCCUAUAGAGUUUAACAUUUAAUAUUAAUUUAAUUAUUGGAAUUUUAUUAUUAGGUUUGUAUUAAAUGUUUGGUUGGGGUGAUUAAAAAAUUUAAAUAACUUUUUAUUAUUGAAACAUUGAUUUAUGAGUAUUUGAUCCAAUAAUUUUGAUUAAAAGAACAAAUUACCUUAGGGAUAACAGCGUAAUUAUUCUAGAGAGUUCAAAUUGAAAGAAUAGAUUGCGACCUCGAUGUUGGAUUAAAAUAAAAUUGUUGUGCAGAAGCAACAAGAUUAAGUCUGUUCGACUUUUAAAAUUUUACAUGAUCUGAGUUUAAACCGGUGUGAGCCAGGUUGGUUUCUAUCUUGAAUAAACAAAUAAAUUUUAGUACGAAAGGACCAAAUUUA